GUGUUCAUGCUGUCCGUGUAUGCUCCUCGCAUUUCACCGAUAAUGUGUACCUGGAUGAGAACAUCAUGGAAGUGCAACUUGGAUUGACACAAAAAAGGAACGAAUUGAAACUUGACGCCGUUCCGACAGUGUUCCACGAACAAAGCGAGCCAGCAACUUCGACACUGCAGGCAGUUCGACAGGGUCAAGCGCAAGUGAAGGACCAGGUGCUGCUGAUCAAGUCCCAUCCAUCCAUAAAACG
This is a long non-coding RNA of Ornithodoros turicata, 241 nucleotides long. RefSeq lists it as uncharacterized. The record is from RefSeq and is a predicted model, not a curated record. The transcript is spliced from 3 exons. Lineage: Eukaryota; Metazoa; Arthropoda; Arachnida; Ixodida; Argasidae.